RNAcentral lists this ribosomal RNA (1046 nucleotides) under Salmonella enterica. Its description in RNAcentral is "partial 23S ribosomal RNA". It matches the Rfam family "Bacterial large subunit ribosomal RNA", at positions 678 to 1637 of the family's 2925-position model. Lineage: Bacteria; Pseudomonadati; Pseudomonadota; Gammaproteobacteria; Enterobacterales; Enterobacteriaceae. The record is from RNAcentral.
CGAGUCUUAAUUGGGCGUUAAGUUGCAGGGUAUAGACCCGAAACCCGGUGAUCUAGCCAUGGGCAGGUUGAAGGUUGGGUAACACUAACUGGAGGACCGAACCGACUAAUGUUGAAAAAUUAGCGGAUGACCUGUGGCUGGGGGUGAAAGGCCAAUCAAACCGGGAGAUAGCUGGUUCUCCCCGAAAGCUAUUUAGGUAGCGCCUCGUGAAUUCAUCUCCGGGGGUAGAGCACUGUUUCGGCUAGGGGGCCAUCCCGGCUUACCAACCCGAUGCAAACUGCGAAUACCGGAGAAUGUUAUCACGGGAGACACACGGCGGGUGCUAACGUCCGUCGUGAAGAGGGAAACAACCCAGACCGCCAGCUAAGGUCCCAAAGUCAUGGUUAAGUGGGAAACGAUGUGGGAAGGCCCAGACAGCCAGGAUGUUGGCUUAGAAGCAGCCAUCAUUUAAAGAAAGCGUAAUAGCUCACUGGUCGAGUCGGCCUGCGCGGAAGAUGUAACGGGGCUAAACCAUGCACCGAAGCUGCGGCAGCGAACGUAUCACCCAAGACAACUUUACGGAGUUGACGAUUGACGGAGCGAAGCGACGUCAAAGCGUUCAUUAAAGUCGAGUUGGCUUAGGGAUACGUUCGUUGGGUAGGGGAGCGUUCUGUAAGCCUGUGAAGGUGUGUCGUGAGGCAUGCUGGAGGUAUCAGAAGUGCGAAUGCUGACAUAAGUAACGAUAAAGCGGGUGAAAAGCCCGCUCGCCGGAAGACCAAGGGUUCCUGUCCAACGUUAAUCGGGGCAGGGUGAGUCGACCCCUAAGGCGAGGCCGAAAGGCGUAGUCGAUGGGAAACGGGUUAAUAUUCCCGUACUUGGUGUUACUGCGAAGGGGGGACGGAGAAGGCUAUGUUGGCCGGGCGACGGUUGUCCCGGUUUAAGCGUGUAGGUGUGUGUUCCAGGUAAAUCCGGUUCACUUUAACACUGAGGCGUGACGACGAGGCACUACGGUGCUGAAGCAACAAAUGCCCUGCUUCCAGGAAAAGCCUCUAAGCAUCAGGUAACAC